Molecule: non-coding RNA, 6009 nt
Organism: Benincasa hispida (wax gourd)
Lineage: Eukaryota; Viridiplantae; Streptophyta; Magnoliopsida; Cucurbitales; Cucurbitaceae
Source: RefSeq, a predicted model, not a curated record
AAAAUAAGAAAAAAAAAUCGAUAUCCUCCCGCCAAAGGGUGAAGUGCGAAGGGGGAAGGAAAAACUGUAGAACUUGGAGAAAGGAUCGCCCACGAGUCACGACCUUCAAAGCCUGUAGACAGCAAUCACAAUCGCAAUUGCUACAAUACCUUUCUUCGGCGAUCGAAUUCGCUUGAUUUCGCAUUCGAAUCUAGUCUCUCAUUUACUGCCGAAUAUCUUCAAUUAGAGGAACUACUGCAUUUUAUUCAGUUUCUGAGGACAAGUCGAUUGAUGUUUUACAAGAAUCCCUGGUAUUUCCCUGUUAUUUUCAUAGAUGGAUGCCAAUCAAGCGGAAGAAGUUGGAUGAUAUUUUAACUGGAAGCUGAUUGAAUCAGUAUGUUCUCCAUCUUGCUCGAUUGUUCUUGGAGUCUCUAUAUGGGAUUAGUACUUUGAAAUUUAUAGUUUCCAGCUUGUUUGUUUUGUCUCUUUCUCUGGUGAUUAACGGAGGUGCUGCUGAUUCCAACGAUUUGUCGUUGAUUUGAUGUGAAUGGACCCAACAUGGUUUCCUGUAGUGGUAGAUUUUCUCAGGCAAACUCUUUCUCAGGUCUUGAAUCCGGUUGAUGUGGAUUUUCAAUCUAUAAAUCUUCCAGAUGUGUUGAUGGAGAACGUUUCAAAUAAAUCCUUCGCCUGAAGGGGAAUUCAGGUUUAUCGUACUUUUAUCGAUGAAAAGUCAUCUAAUGUUUAUUGGAUCUUUGGUUUGUAAAUCAUUUUCCUUAUAAAAUCGGAGUAAAAGCCAUCUAAGGUUUAUUGAAUCUUCGCUCUGUGAAUCAUUUUCCUUUUAAAUUGGGUUUUAGAAGGUCUAGCGUUGAACCCUUUUCUGAUUCCUAACUGUUAUGCAAGAUGUGCUUAUUAUUCUCUAGAGUCCAAAUCAGCACGAAUUUUAAAUUUCUUGCAUGUUUUUCUCCAUGUGUAUCUACUUUCCUGCCUCCGCAAGUUGCAGAGUUGUUGUGCUGACAUGAAUCUUGUUAUUGUGACCUAUAUACUUGUGAAGUGUGAACUGAUUGAUACAAAACCUGUGAAUUAGUUCAGUACAAGUUUGAUUACUCUAUGAUGUCCAUAGUAACGUUUAUGUUUGCAUCCGCUUACUAUCUUCUUUGUCUAUAUUUGCAUGUUAAAAUGAUAGCUUCAUGGAUUUGAUUGCAUAGCUCCGUAAGGGACAUGUCUCGACACCAUAUAUUGAGUUUUUGUAUAUGGUAUGGACUUAGAUUUUACGAUAAAACAUGUUUCUAGGGCACUUAUCUUCUGCUAACUGAAGUGUCUUGCUUGAAGAAUGAUACUUCCAUCUUUUGUUUUCCUCCAUUAUCUGUUUCAUAGUUUAUGGUGCACUGUAUUAUGAUGCUUCUUGGAAAGUUAGCUCGCAACUCUGAAUUUAUAUUGGCACUUGACUCCUAUUAUUUCAGUAUUGCAUUCUUAUCUAUAUACUGGAAUGCUUGUUACUUCUUGGAAAGUUGGUGAAUUGCCGUAUGGGAUGCUAAUUAGAGCAUUGUAGAACUCGUAAGCUUAUGAAAUUGAUCUCUCAGAUGAAAUUUACCAGAUCUUGACCUGAUGACUAACUAGUAACCACUUAAGACAUUUGUGUCCUAUCCAAUAAAUUUCAUAAUUCUAAUUGUUGGAUUAUCAAUGAAUAGAUUUAUUGAGUCAGUCAAAGUGUGCAUCAAUUUAUUAAAAAUAAUAAACAUAAUUUUUUGUUUGAAUGUUGUACAAAUGAUUCUAUUUUUUGGGAAGGUAAGAUUAUAAUGGAAGGGAAAAAUGUGUAUUUAAACUUUUAAAUAUUAAAGAAUCGGAUGAAUUUGUCUCAAAUUUUUUCGAUUGAGUUUCCUAACUAUGGUUGUUUUCUAGCUGUUAGUAAUUUCUAGUUCCAGUGAUAUAGUUUUUAAAUUAGUCCUUUAGUUUUCUAGAAUUUUAUUUUAUUUUUGUUGGAAUUUGAAUGGAAAUUUGAGUUUUGUGUUUGGUGACUUCGCCAAAGGUAAAGAGGCUCAGUAGUUCUCCUGUUGAGGUGAAGACAAUGAACCCGUUAUGAUAGAAUGUGGGUACCUUGGAGACCUUAGAACUUCUGCACUAUGGAAUCCUUUCGCGGAUCUCUCUCUCUCUCUCCCCUUUUUUCCUUCUCCAAACUGAUGUCACAUAUCAAAUGAAUUGAUAGCACAGCAGGAGUCAACUUGCACAUUAUUCUUUCUAACACAGGUAAAUGUGAAUACAUUGUAAUGAACUGAAAAGUAGAACCAAUGAAAAUGAUGCCUUCUGGCACUGAAAAGGAAAGUAGGAAAUGGAAACCUUUACAGGCAAGAAUCAGGGUAGAAAGUGCAGUGUACCGGCGUUUUAUUUUUUAUUUUUUUUCCUUUUUUAUUUCAUGGCAUCUGAAAAUGCAAGAAGAUUAUUGAGUGACCAGUUCAUCAGUUUUAUUGGUCCAGACAAUGCAUUUGCUUCUACUUUUAUUAAUGGAUGCGUGUGUAAAUGGUGUUUAUAGGUUUAGCUAGGUUGAAAGACUUUUAUGAUCAAAUUGAGCAUAGAUCAACUAGCUAAGACAUAUAUCAUCAAUCAAGGGGUUAGAGAAAUAUGUAAUGUGAAUUAUUUGGGUGGAGUUAGUUAUGGUGUUUGGAUUAUAUAUUAGAGAAAUACAUAAACAAAAUAGUGAAAUUAUAAGUAACUUAAAGUAAGCUAUUUACUAAUUUUUAAAUUUAGAUUAAGAUCAGCAGACUAUUGGAGAUAUGUUGAUUGACUUUAUAAUUUUCUUUAAGGAAGUCGUUCUGUAGUUGUCUAAAAAAAAAGUAUUAACAUCAGGUUGUGACAACAAAUUUAUUUCUCUACGAAAUACUUUCCUUAUCUGAAAAUAUCCAACCGUGACAUUUAGUCUGAUAUUUUCCUUUAUUGUGGCGCGACUUAUUUUCUCCUUUUUGGGAGAUGUUUCCUUUUCUGGAUUCAUCUAUAAAAGGAGUAUCUUGGUUUACUUUCGGUAAACAGUUUUAUUAUGCCGAUUUGUGUUUUGAGAGAAAGACGUUUGCAGUAUUCCGGCCAAAUUGUUCUACUUUGUGUUCUUAAUAAUUGCUCACUUUAUUCCAUUGUGUAAGUUCUCAAUCCAUUGAUUGCAACACUUUGAAGAUUAUCGUGGCCUAAGGGGAGCCUAAGCCAUAGCUACCAGAGAAGGGAUUCUCAGUCUUAGGGGAGCCUAAGACUCAGCUUCAAAUAAAGAGUUCUCUAUCUUAGAAGGACCUAAGGUUUGUCAGUGAAAGGAGUUUGUUGAUUCAAAAGAAGGAUAAUCAAGUUGAGAGGAGACUCACACAUUAUCAGGUGCCGAAGUGUCAGACGGUAAUAUUAACAUACUUAGGGGGAGUCUAAGUUCAGUAGAAAGUGAGUCUCACAUCUAGGGGGAACCUAGGCGACGUGUGAGUUAAGCUCUACAUGAGCUACUGUAGUAGUUGAUGUAUUACAGAUAAGUAUUACGUUGCAAACUGCUUAACUCUUUAAUAUUAGUGGAUUAUCUUUCCUCGACACUCUGCCCCUUAGACGUAGGUGUUUAUCGUUGAAAUGGGUUACUGUUGAAAGUAGAGUUUAAGCUCUAGGGGCAUUUAUGUCUUUUUAUUGUACUUUAGGGUUUCCUACAUUUCUAUUUCAACAUACAACCUUUGUGUAUCCAAUGUAUCAAUUCUAAUAAGAAAACUUCAUAGCGUGGUUUUUUCUCCUUGUAUUAGGGUUUUCCACGUUACUCUGUGUACCCUUUUUCUCUUUCUACUCUCCCUUUUUCAUCAUGGUAUCAGAGCAUGGAGACAAAACUCGGGCCACCAUUGAGGAAAACCCAACAGGAGAAUCGCAAUUGUCAGUAGUUGACAAUAAUGACACAGAUAUAGCUAUUUUUGUGCAAAAUGCCAUAGAAUGGUAUUAUUAGACUGCUUUUCCACAUCUUCACCAAAGUGACCAGCCGAACGAACAGCAGCUGGCCAAAGUAGAAACUCAUGGUGUGCUGCCGAUCAGCGUGAUCCAUGCCGCACAACAGCUGCUAACCUCACGGAUCAACGCGCAGCAGCUCACGUAGCGAUCGGCAUGAUCUAACCAGUGCAGCCCAUUCGAUCGACGAUGUCCAACCAGCGCAACCUCAUUGGCGCGAUCCCAGUUAAUUGUCGACCUCCAGCCGGUGCACCCAUUCCAGCAAGUUGGACUCAGCCAAGGUUCUCGAUUCCAACCAACGCAGCCUUCCAUUCUGCUGGAACUGAUCCAAUCUGAGGCUGCCACCUCACAUCGACCAACGAUAGCUCUCCGUUCCAGCUGUAUUUGAACAGUGGCCUGGGUCAGUCAUCUCCUAUAAUUGGUGGAUUCGAAAUUGAGGAGUCACCAUCUCACCAUCAAGGAUAAGCCAGUGCAAUCCAAGACCAAUUCACUCAACUCCAACUUCAGAUUAAACAGCAGAAAGAGUAUGUUCAGCAACAGAUAGCUGCUCUCGGAGAAGCACUGGGAACGACCUCAAAUGUCCAGUCAUACCUUCUUUUAAAUCCAUCUAUUUACUCUGGAAAUUCGGCAACCUCUUUCCCUUCCUUAUCUAUAGCAAAUUUAUUUUUUUUGGGCAAUGGGAAAUUCUGUAGGUUUUUUUGUAGGGGAGAAAUUCAAUGGUCAGAACUACUUUUCAUGGUCUCAAUCCAUUAAAAUGGCCCUUGAGGGUCGUCAUAAAUUCGGAUACUUAUCAGGCAAAAUACCGAAACCGAGACCGGGUGAUCCUCAAGAACGUAUAUGGAAGGGAGAGGAUUCUUUACUUCGGUCUAUUCUAGUAGGUAAUAUAGAGCCUCAAAUCGGAAAACCCCUACUGUAUGUUGCCACUACGCAAGACAUUUGAGAGGUUGUUCAGAAGAUGUACUCCAAAUGAUAGAAUGCUUCAUGGCUCUAUACUUUACGCAAACAAGUCCAUAAAUGCAAGUAGGGAACGAUGGAUGUUACACUUACUUCAACAAGUUGUCUCUUCUUUGGCAAGAAAUGGACCUAUGUUACGAGAUGGUCUGGAAUUGUUCUUGUAGGGGAGUCUUACAUUACGAGUCUCAGGAAAUUGACCGAGUCUAUGAUUUUCUUACGGGACCGAAUUCUAAGUUUAACACGGUACGGAGUUGGAUACUGGGACACCAUUCAAUACCAUUCCUGAUGGAAGUUUGUUCUGAAAUCCACCUCGAGGAAGACAGAUCCAAUGCUAUGAAUAAUAUGCUGAUUUCGUCAACUGGCUCUGUUGCAUUUAAAACGUCAAGUCCAUUCCAUAACAAACAGAACGGCAAGCCAACUCCAGUAUGUGAACACUGCAAGAAGCUCUGGCACACCAAAGACUAGUGUUGGAAGUUGCAUGGUCAUCCACCUAAUGGCAAACUAUGGCAGUCAGGUUCUGGAUGAGCAUUGGAAAGUGAAUCAGCAACCAGGGGUCCUCAACCUUAGAGUCGGGAAACUAGCCACAGUAGCUCUAGUGCAGUGGGUGUGAGCGCGAUCGCCCAAUUAGAUACUCUUUAAUCUUUUGGCGUUGUUAGUAUAACUGGUAGCAAGCCGUGGAUUCUAGAUUCAGGGGCUAUAGACCACUUACCUGGCUCUUCCGACCAGUUUAUUUCAUACUAUCCAAGUGCUGGAAAUGAAAGAAUCAAAAUUGCUGAUGGGUUUUUUGAUCCUAUGGCUGGGAAAGACCGCUUUUCUCCCUUUGAGGGUUUGAUUUUACAAGAUGUGCGACAUGUUCCUAAAAUCUAUUAUAAUCUAUUAUUUGUUAGCAAGAUUACAAGAGAUUCGAAAUGUCGAGUUACUUUCUCACCUGAUGUUGUUGUUUUUCAAUACCUAAACUCGAGAACGACGAUUGACACUGUCCGACAUGAUAGGAGGCUCUAUUUCCUUACUGAAUAUGCUUCAUCUAGGAUAUGUGAAGGGACUAGUUUACUUUCAUCAUGUUUUUCUACUUCUGAAUAGGGUUGGCAAUGGGCUCGGGGUGGGGCAUCCUCCAUCCCGGGCCCUGGGGGGAAA